AUAUUUACCUGGCAGGGGAGACACCAUGAUCAGGAAUGUGGUUUUUUUCAGACUGAGGCUUACCCAUUGCACUCCAGAUGUGUUGACGCCUGUGAUUAACCCAAAUGUGGGAAACUCAACUGCAUGAUGUUUUUAAAAAGAUUUUAUUUAUUUAUUUUUA
Pteronotus mesoamericanus is the source of this 160-nucleotide small nuclear RNA. RefSeq annotates it as U1 spliceosomal RNA. The record is from RefSeq and is a predicted model, not a curated record. The transcript has a single exon. NCBI's taxonomy places the organism in Eukaryota, Metazoa, Chordata, Mammalia, Chiroptera, Mormoopidae.